UACGUAGGGUGCGAGCGUUAAUCGGAAUUACUGGGAGUAAAGCGUGCGCAGGCGGUCUGUUAAGACCGAUGUGAAAUCCCCGGGCUUAACCUGGGAACUGCAUUGGUGACUGGCAGGCUUUGAGUGUGGCAGAGGGAGGUAGAAUUCCACGUGUAGCAGUGAAAUGCGUAGAGAUGUGGAGGAAUACCGAUGGCGAAGGCAGCCUCCUGGGCCAACACUGACGCUCAUGCACGAAAGCGUGGGGAGCAAACAGG
This 254-nucleotide ribosomal RNA is filed under the name uncultured bacterium. RNAcentral describes it as "partial 16S ribosomal RNA". It matches the Rfam family "Bacterial small subunit ribosomal RNA", at positions 524 to 776 of the family's 1533-position model. The record is from RNAcentral.